Long non-coding RNA from Mirounga angustirostris (Northern elephant seal), 515 nucleotides. RefSeq lists it as uncharacterized. The record is from RefSeq and is a predicted model, not a curated record. NCBI's taxonomy places the organism in Eukaryota, Metazoa, Chordata, Mammalia, Carnivora, Phocidae. The transcript has 4 exons.
CCGUGAGCUUCGGGCUGCCGCUCAGGCCUCGUCUCGGCCUCUGAGCGCGUCCACCUUCACGUCCCCGUCCGUGUCGUCCCAGGCCCGAAGACCUGCACCCCACCUGCGCGCCCGACGCUGUGCUGGGCCCUGGGAGCCAAAGCCUGAUCUAGUCGCCCUUGGUGCUGUGGAACAUGUUUAUGCCAUCAUACAAUCUCUGGACUUGCACCUUUGUACAAGCUGCUGGAGGAGUCGGCCAGUGGGUGGCAUUUGAAUUUGGCCUAGAACACCACAUCUCAUGACCUGUUCCCCUCACCGUCCACGUGGGGCACUUCCCAGUACAUCAGGACCCGCUCUGGGGGUGCAGAGGAUGGUAGGAUCAUACUCCACUGGGAAAAUCAAGGAUGGCAUCACUGACAGAUAACACCAGAGCUUGGGAGUGGGAACUCCUGUGAGGGGCCUGCAGGCAGGAGAUCACCUUCUGACUCUCCAUUUUGCCAGGACGGAUAGUGAGACUGGCCAGGCUGCCGUGGAAG